This 434-nucleotide ribosomal RNA is filed under the name uncultured bacterium. Its description in RNAcentral is "partial 16S ribosomal RNA". It matches the Rfam family "Bacterial small subunit ribosomal RNA", at positions 29 to 507 of the family's 1533-position model. The record is from RNAcentral.
AGCGAACGCUGGCGGCAGGCCUAACACAUGCAAGUCGAACGAACCUUUCGGGGUUAGUGGCGGACGGGUGAGUAACACGUGGGAACGUGCCUUUAGGUUCGGAAUAACUCAGGGAAACUUGUGCUAAUACCGAAUGUGCCCUUCGGGGGAAAGAUUUAUCGCCUUUAGAGCGGCCCGCGUCUGAUUAGCUGGUUGGUUGAGGUAAUGGCUCACCAAGGCGACGAUCAGUAGCUGGUCUGAGAGGAUGGUCAGCCACAUUGGGACUGAGACACGGCCCAAACUCCUACGGGAGGAAGCAGUGGGGAAUCUUGCGCAAUGGGCGAAAGCCUGACGCAGCCAUGCCGCGUGAAUGAUGAAGGUCUUAGGAUUGUAAAAUUCUUUCAGCGGGGACGAUAAUGACGGUACCCGGAGAAGAAGCCCCGGCUAACUUCGUG